GACGUAGGGCGCGAGCGUUGUCCGGAUUUAUUGGGCGUAAAGAGCUCGUAGGCGGUUUGUCGCGUCUGCCGUGAAAGUCCGGGGCUCAACUCCGGAUCUGCGGUGGGUACGGGCAGACUAGAGUGCAGUAGGGGAGACUGGAAUUCCUGGUGUAGCGGUGAAAUGCGCAGAUAUCAGGAGGAACACCGAUGGCGAAGGCAGGUCUCUGGGCUGUAACUGACGCUGAGGAGCGAAAGCAUGGGGAGCGAACAGG
This 253-nucleotide ribosomal RNA is filed under the name uncultured bacterium. Its description in RNAcentral is "partial 16S ribosomal RNA". It matches the Rfam family "Bacterial small subunit ribosomal RNA", at positions 524 to 776 of the family's 1533-position model. The record is from RNAcentral.